CCUACGGGGGGCUGCAGUGAGGAAUAUUGGUCAAUGGACGAGAGUCUGAACCAGCCAAGUAGCGUGAAGGAUGACCGCCCUAUGGGUUGUAAACUUCUUUUAUAUGGGAAUAAAACGUUCCACGUGUGGGAUUUUGUAUGUACCAUAUGAAUAAGGAUCGGCUAACUCCGUGCCAGCAGCCGCGGUAAUACGGAGGAUCCGAGCGUUAUCCGGAUUUAUUGGGUUUAAAGGGAGCGUAGGUGGAUUGUUAAGUCAGUUGUGAAAGUUUGCGGCUCAACCGUAAAAUUGCAGUUGAAACUGGCAGUCUUGAGUACAGUAGAGGUGGGCGGAAGUCGUGGUGUAGCGGUGAAAUGCUUAGAUAUCACGAAGAACUCCGAUUGCGAAGGCAGUUCACUGGACUGCAACUGACACUGAGGCUCGAAAGUGUGGGUAUCAAACAGGAUUAGAUACCCUGGUAGUC
This 460-nucleotide ribosomal RNA is filed under the name uncultured bacterium. RNAcentral's name for it is "partial 16S ribosomal RNA". It matches the Rfam family "Bacterial small subunit ribosomal RNA", at positions 338 to 795 of the family's 1533-position model. The record is from RNAcentral.